Molecule: transfer RNA, 72 nt
Filed under: Bos taurus (domestic cattle)
Lineage: Eukaryota; Metazoa; Chordata; Mammalia; Artiodactyla; Bovidae
Also listed under: 1 other name
Rfam family: tRNA
About the family: Transfer RNA (tRNA) molecules are approximately 80 nucleotides in length. Their secondary structure includes four short double-helical elements and three loops (D, anti-codon, and T loops).
Source: Rfam by way of RNAcentral
UCCCUGAUGGUGCAGUGGAUGGGCAUCUGCCUGCCAAUGCAGGGGACACAGGUUCGAUUCCUGGUCUGGGAA